GUAGGGUGCGAGCGUUAAUCGGAAUUACUGGGCGUAAAGUGUGCGCAGGCGGCCGCGCAAGUCGAGUGUGAAAUCCCCGAGCUUAACUUGGGAAUUGCGCUCGAAACUACGUGGCUGGAGUGUGGCAGAGGAAGGUGGAAUUCCACGUGUAGCGGUGAAAUGCGUAGAGAUGUGGAGGAACACCAAUGGCGAAGGCAGCCUUCUGGGCCAACACUGACGCUCAUGCACGAAAGCGUGGGGAGCAAACAGGAUUAGAUACCCUGGUAGUCCACGCCCUAAACGAUGACGACUAGUUGUUGGAGGAGUUAAAUCCUUUAGUAACGCAGCUAACGCGCGAAGUCGUCCGCCUGGGGAGUACGGUCGCAAGAUUA
Molecule: ribosomal RNA, 371 nt
Filed under: uncultured bacterium
Lineage: Bacteria
Description: bacterial SSU rRNA
Rfam family: Bacterial small subunit ribosomal RNA
Source: RNAcentral